This 476-nucleotide small RNA is filed under the name Pan troglodytes (chimpanzee). RNAcentral's name for it is "retained intron". Lineage: Eukaryota; Metazoa; Chordata; Mammalia; Primates; Hominidae. The record is from RNAcentral.
CCCUUUUCUUUUUAGAUGGAAAUUCCUUCUUCCAGCAUUAUAAAUCAGUACAUUGCUUGUCAAGGGCCAUUACCACACACUUGUACAGAUUUUUGGCAGAUGACUUGGGAACAAGGCUCCUCUAUGGUUGUAAUGUUGACCACACAAGUUGAACGUGGCAGAGUUAAAUGUCACCAAUAUUGGCCAGAACCCACAGGCAGUUCAUCUUAUGGAUGCUACCAAGUUACCUGCCACUCUGAAGAAGGAAACACUGCCUAUAUCUUCAGGAAGAUGACACUAUUUAACCAAGAGAAAAAUGAAAGUCGUCCACUCACUCAGAUCCAGUACAUAGCCUGGCCUGACCAUGGAGUCCCUGAUGAUUCGAGUGACUUUCUAGAUUUUGUUUGUCAUGUACGAAACAAGAGGGCUGGCAAGGAAGAACCCGUUGUUGUCCAUUGCAGUGCUGGAAUCGGAAGAACUGGGGUUCUUAUUACCAU